RNAcentral lists this small RNA (29 nucleotides) under Bombyx mori (domestic silkworm). RNAcentral describes it as "ovarian small RNA-32916". The record is from RNAcentral. Lineage: Eukaryota; Metazoa; Arthropoda; Insecta; Lepidoptera; Bombycidae.
UGAUGUCCUUCCUAUUGAACAUCGCCGGC